CGCGUAUCUGAUUUGCAGGUGAGUCGAGCAGCCAAACGUCUCUGCUUUUAGGCAUAGACUUCUUCUGAACGAUGUGUCCCCGGUCUGUCUUUACCACACUGCCGUUGUAGACUUUGAGGAAAGCAACAGAAGCCUGGUGGCUAGCGGGGGCAGGGCGAGUUCUUUGGUCUUGGGUGUAUCGAAAGGAUGGUGUGAGGGCUGAACCCAGAACAAGCUCUUGAGAGCGCCCCCAACAUACCAUCAGGGACUGGAGCCCCAGAGAGAAAUAAUAAAGUGCCCUGGCUGUGAUGCCAGGGGAGGUGAGCCCGGGUUGAGCCAUUGUGAGGGUUAACCAGAGACAGGUGAGAUCCCAGGUCAGUUCAAAGCAAAGCACCGGGCAGAAGAUGAGCAGGAGACAGGAUCAGUAAAAACGCUGCAUUAGGACAAGUAUCCAGUGUUCGACCUGCUGGCAUGUGAAUCCAGCUCCACCCCACCGGACUGACAACAGGUCGUUAACCUCUCUAGGUCAACUCACUGGGGUGACAGCCACACCUGAGCUCACGGAGGUGUCAGAGGUAAGCUGGUGGAUAUGUACUAAGCUCUAGAAAGGGCCUGGUGCGCAGUCCUAGUUGACUGGGAGAUGCUGUUUCCUCUUUUGAAACCUCACUUUUGUUUACCCAAGUUCCACAUCUUCCUUCCAGAGCUGCUCACAGGCCUCCUGAAUAAACAAACAAGAGGUGCUUCCUGAAGGAGCCCGGAAGCCACACUCAGCCACCAUCGGUGGGACUUCAGUAAAUAGCAAGAGUGUGAUGAAGCAGUUCGGAAUACAUGCAGGCCGCUUUAAGAAAGAGACCACCGUGAGAAGUUAACAACCCUUGGCGCUGGUUGCUCAGAAUAAAUCAUAGUAUCUUCAACUUCAGGGUUUUGAAGUGGACAUGGAGCCAGCAGGGAUGGAAUCCGUGCCAGAAGAGAGAGAGCUGGGAGAACUAAGGACCACCAGCCUGUGUAAUGACGAAGGGAGGGCUCAAUGGCUUGUCUGAAAGACAUGGAGGAGCAUGCCACGAAAGAAUCUGGAGCAGAAAAUUCCAGGAGACCGAUGCUGAAGCAGGAAGGCCCGUCAGCCGCUGUCAACAAAGUUUCCUCAUUAACUCAUGAGAGAUGUUCUGUACCGGACUCACGGGUCCACGAGGCUACUAAUGGGGCCUGGAACCAUCCGUGCCCACUCAGCUCUGAUCCCAGGGGGCAGAUGUAGAAGUCCUCAGAUGUGGCUGAGCAAGCACUGUCCUGAUUCUUCUCCUGUGGGACUGUGGUGGCUGCAAAGAGAAUGCCCCCGUAGGCUCAUCUGUUUGAGUAUACGGUCUCCAGUUGGUGGAAUUAUUUGGGAAAGAUUAAGAAGUGUGGCCUUGUUGGAUGUGUAUCACUGGGCUUUAAGGUUUCAAAAGCCAGAGCUAUUCCCAGUAAGCUCCUUCUAUCUGCUUUGUGCUGGUGGAUCAGAUGUAAGGUCUUACUUAGUUAAUUCUCCCGCACCAUGCCUGCCUGCCUGCCUGCCUGCCA
Molecule: long non-coding RNA, 1533 nt
Organism: Mastomys coucha (southern multimammate mouse)
Lineage: Eukaryota; Metazoa; Chordata; Mammalia; Rodentia; Muridae
Exons: 3
Source: RefSeq, a predicted model, not a curated record